This 2076-nucleotide ribosomal RNA is filed under the name human gut metagenome. RNAcentral describes it as "bacterial LSU rRNA". It matches the Rfam family "Bacterial large subunit ribosomal RNA", at positions 830 to 2925 of the family's 2925-position model. The record is from RNAcentral.
CAAUCGAACCCGGAGAUAGCUGGUUCUCCUCGAAAUAGCUUUAGGGCUAGCCUCGCAUUAGUUUACCGGAGGUAGAGCACUGAAUGGUCUAGGGGGCCUCACCGCCUACCGAAACCUAUCAAACUGCGAAUGCCGGAUAAAUGAUGUGCGGGAGUCAGGCCGCGAGAGAUAAGUUCCGCGGUCAAAAGGGGAACACCCCAGAUCGUCUGCUAAGGUCCCCAAGUACGCGUUAAGUGGGAAAGGAUGUUGGAUUGCACAGACAACCAGGAUGUUGGCUUAGAAGCAGCCACACAUUCAAAGAGUGCGUAAUAGCUCACUGGUCGAGUGAUCCAGCGCCGAAAAUGUAACGGGGCUAAAACGCGACACCGAAGCAGCGGGAUGCGUAAGCAUCGGUAGAGGAGCAUUGUGUGAGGAUUGAAGCCAGAGCGGGAGCACUGGUGGACUUCACAGAAGAGAGAAUGCCGGUAUGAGUAGCGAGACCCAUGCGAGAAACAUGGGCGUCGAAGGCCCAAGGUUUCCUGGGGAAGGUUCAUCCACCCAGGGUAAGUCGGGACCUAAGCCGAGGACUGAGGUCGUAGGCGAUGGACAGCAGGUAGAGAUUCCUGCACCACUUACACUUGUUUGACGAAGCAGUGACACAGAAGGAUAGGACGAGCGCGGUGAUGGUCAACCGCGUAGGCGGCACGAGGCCGGGAAGCAGUGAAGUACACUUCCCGCAAAGGCUGAGUGUUGACAGGACCGAAAAGAAGUAGGGAAGCGUCCGAGUUCACGCUGGCGAGAAAAGCUGCUAAGGAGAGUGUGAGUGCCCGUACCGGAAACCGACGCAGGUGGGCGAGGAGAGAAUCCUGAGACGGACGGGAGAACUCUUGUUAAGGAACUCGGCAAAAUGACCCCGUAACUUCGGGAGAAGGGGUGCCUCGAAAGAGGCCGCAGAGAAUAGUCACAAGCGACUGUUUAGCAAAAACACAGGUAUCUGCGAAAGCGAGAGCUGACGUAUAGGUGCUGACGCCUGCCCGGUGCUGGAAGGUUAAGGGGAAGUGUUAGGGGAAACCCGAAGCAGAGAACCGAAGCCCCAGUAAACGGCGGCCGUAACUAUAACGGUCCUAAGGUAGCGAAAUUCCUUGUCGGGUAAGUUCCGACCCGCACGAAUGGCGUAACGACUUGUGAGCUGUCUCAACAGGAGGCCCGGUGAAAUUGAAGUAUGUGUGAAGAUGCACAUUACCCGCGACUGGACGGAAAGACCCCGUAGAGCUUUACUGUAACCUGACAUUGGAUCUUGAUAACGGAUGCACAGGAUAGGUGGGACGCUGGGAGACGAGGACUUUGGUUUUCGUGGAGCGGCCGUUGGGAUACCACUCUUCUGUUAUUGAGAUUCUAACCUCAAGCCGUGAGCCGGAUGAGAGACAGUGUCAGGCGGACAGUUUGACUGGGGCGGUCGCCUCCGAAAGAGUAACGGAGGCGCCCAAAGGUACCCUCAGAAUGGAUGGAAACCAUUCGAAGAGAGCAAAGUCAGAAGGGUGCUUGACUGCGAGACCAACAAGUCGAGCAGGUACGAAAGUAGGGCUUAGUGAUCCGGCGGUAAGAGAGUGGAAUUGCCGUCGCUCAACGGAUAAAAGCUACCUCGGGGAUAACAGGCUGAUCUCCCCCAAGAGUUCACAUCGACGGGGAGGUUUGGCACCUCGAUGUCGGCUCGUCGCAUCCUGGGGCUGUAGUCGGUCCCAAGGGUUUGGCUGUUCGCCAAUUAAAGCGGCACGCGAGCUGGGUUCAGAACGUCGUGAGACAGUUCGGUCCCUAUCCAUCGUGGGCGAAGGACACAUGAGAGGAGCUGCUCCUAGUACGAGAGGACCGGAGUGGACGCAUCACUGGUGCAACUGUUGUCGUGCCAACGGCACAGCAGGGAAGCGAAAUGCGGAUGGGAUAAACGCUGAAGGCAUCUAAGCGUGAAGCCCACCUCAAGAAUAAGUGUCCCAUUCGAAAGAAGUAAGACCCCUGGAAGACUACCAGGUGAUAGGUCAUCGGUGAAAGAGUGGUAACAUUUGGAGCUUGAUGAUACUAAUCGGUCGAGGACUUGAUCUA